UGACCUCUGACCCCUGUCCCCAG
RNAcentral lists this microRNA (23 nucleotides) under Macaca fascicularis (crab-eating macaque). RNAcentral's name for it is "novel_miR42-3p". The record is from RNAcentral. Lineage: Eukaryota; Metazoa; Chordata; Mammalia; Primates; Cercopithecidae.